CAAUAGCGUAUAUUAAAGUUGUUGCGGUUAAAAAGCUCGUAGUUGGAUUUCUGCUGAGAACGACCGGUCCGCCCUUUGGGUGUGUAUCUGGCUCUUUCUUGGCAUCUUCUUGGUGAACGUUGCUGCACUUGACUGUGUGGAGCGCUACCCAGGACUUUUACUUUGAGGAAAUUAGAGUGUUUCAAGCAGGCAUACGCCUUGAAUACAUUAGCAUGGAAUAAUAAGAUAGGACCUCGGUUCUAUUUUGUUGGUUUCUAGAGCUGAGGUAAUGAUUAAUAGGGACAGUUGGGGGUAUUCGUAUUCCGUUGUCAGAGGUGAAAUUCUUGGAUUUACGGAAGACGAACUACUGCGAAAGCAUUUACCAAGGAUGUUUUCAUUAA
RNAcentral lists this ribosomal RNA (380 nucleotides) under uncultured eukaryote. RNAcentral's name for it is "partial 18S ribosomal RNA". It matches the Rfam family "Eukaryotic small subunit ribosomal RNA", at positions 592 to 976 of the family's 1831-position model. The record is from RNAcentral.